Molecule: transfer RNA, 82 nt
Filed under: Buchnera aphidicola (Aphis nerii)
Lineage: Bacteria; Pseudomonadati; Pseudomonadota; Gammaproteobacteria; Enterobacterales; Erwiniaceae
Description: tRNA-Leu
Rfam family: tRNA
About the family: Transfer RNA (tRNA) molecules are approximately 80 nucleotides in length. Their secondary structure includes four short double-helical elements and three loops (D, anti-codon, and T loops).
Source: RNAcentral
ACCGAGGUGGUGAAACUGGUAAACACGCUAUCUUGAGGGGAUAGUGCCUGAAGGCUUAUGGGUUCAAAUCCCAUCCUCGGUA